GAUGAACGCUAGCUACAGGCUUAACACAUGCAAGUCGAGGGGAAACGACAUCGAAAGCUUGCUUUUGAUGGGCGUCGACCGGCGCACGGGUGAGUAACGCGUAUCCAACCUGCCCAUCACUUGGGAAUAACCUUGCGAAAGUAAGACUAAUACCCAAUGACAUCCCACGAAGACAUCUGAAUGGGAUUAAAGAUUUAUCGGUGAUGGAUGGGGAUGCGUCUGAUUAGCUUGUUGGCGGGGUAACGGCCCACCAAGGCAACGAUCAGUAGGGGUUCUGAGAGGAAGGUCCCCCACAUUGGAACUGAGACACGGUCCAAACUCCUACGGGAGGCAGCAGUGAGGAAUAUUGAUCAAUGGGCGAGAGCCUGAACCAGCCAAGUAGCGUGCAGGAUGACGGCCCUAUGGGUUGUAAACUGCUUUUAUAAGGGAAUAAAGUGGGUCUCGUGAGACUUUUUGCAUGUACCUUAUGAAUAAGGGCCGGCUAAGUCCGUG
This 492-nucleotide ribosomal RNA is filed under the name uncultured bacterium. Its description in RNAcentral is "partial 16S ribosomal RNA". It matches the Rfam family "Bacterial small subunit ribosomal RNA", at positions 28 to 507 of the family's 1533-position model. The record is from RNAcentral.